AACGAACGCUGGCGGCAUGCCUAACACAUGCAAGUCGAACGAGACCUUCGGGUCUAGUGGCGCACGGGUGCGUAACGCGUGGGAACCUGCCCUUAGGUUCGGAAUAACUCCCCGACAGGGGUGCUAAUACCGGAUAAUGUCUUCGGACCAAAGAUUUAUCGCCUUUGGAUGGGCCCGCGUUGGAUUAGCUAGUUGGUAGGGUAAAAGCCUACCAAGGCGACGAUCCAUAGCUGGUCUGAGAGGAUGAUCAGCCACACUGGGACUGAGACACGGCCCAGACUCCUACGGGAGGCAGGAGUGGGGAAUAGUGGACAAUGGGCGAAAGCAUGAUCCAGCAAUGACGCGUGAGUGAUGAAGGCCUUAGGGUUGUAAAGCUCUUUUAACCGGGAUGAUAAUGACAGUACCGGGAGAAUAAGCCCCGGCUAACUCCGUG
RNAcentral lists this ribosomal RNA (433 nucleotides) under uncultured bacterium. Its description in RNAcentral is "partial 16S ribosomal RNA". It matches the Rfam family "Bacterial small subunit ribosomal RNA", at positions 29 to 507 of the family's 1533-position model. The record is from RNAcentral.